RNAcentral lists this ribosomal RNA (483 nucleotides) under uncultured bacterium. RNAcentral's name for it is "partial 16S ribosomal RNA". It matches the Rfam family "Bacterial small subunit ribosomal RNA", at positions 28 to 507 of the family's 1533-position model. The record is from RNAcentral.
GACGAACGCUGGCGGCGUGCUUAACACAUGCAAGUCGAACGCUGAAGCUCAGCUUUUGUUGGGUGGAUGAGUGGCGAACGGGUGAGUAACACGUGAGUAACCUGCCCCCUUCUUUGGGAUAACGCCCGGAAACGGGUGCUAAUACUGGAUAUUCACUGGUCUUCGCAUGGGGGCUGGUGGAAAGGGUUUUUCUGGUGGGGGAUGGGCUCGCGGCCUAUCAGCUUGUUGGUGGGGUGAUGGCCUACCAAGGCUUUGACGGGUAGCCGGCCUGAGAGGGUGACCGGUCACAUUGGGACUGAGAUACGGCCCAGACUCCUACGGGAGGCAGCAGUGGGGAAUAUUGCACAAUGGGCGCAAGCCUGAUGCAGCGACGCCGCGUGAGGGAUGGAGGCCGUCGGGUUGUGAACCUCUUUCGCUCAUGGUCAAGCCGCAACAAUGGUUGUGGUGAGGGUAGUGGGUAAAGAAGCGCCGGCUAACUACGUG